UUCCGUAGGUGGACCUGCGGAAGGAUCAUUACCGAGUGAGGCCCUCUGGGUCCAACCUCCCACCCGUGUUUAUUUUACCUUGUUGCUUCGGCGGGCCCGCCUUAACUGGCCGCCGGGGGGCUUACGCCCCCGGGCCCGCGCCCGCCGAAGACACCCUCGAACUCUGUCUGAAGAUUGUAGUCUGAGUGAAAAUAUAAAUUAUUUAAAACUUUCAACAACGGAUCUCUUGGUUCCGGCAUCGAUGAAGAACGCAGCGAAAUGCGAUACGUAAUGUGAAUUGCAAAUUCAGUGAAUCAUCGAGUCUUUGAACGCACAUUGCGCCCCCUGGUAUUCCGGGGGGCAUGCCUGUCCGAGCGUCAUUGCUGCCCUCAAGCACGGCUUGUGUGUUGGGCCCCGUCCUCCGAUCCCGGGGGACGGGCCCGAAAGGCAGCGGCGGCACCGCGUCCGGUCCUCGAGCGUAUGGGGCUUUGUCACCCGCUCUGUAGGCCCGGCCGGCGCUUGCCGAUCAACCCAAAUUUUUAUCCAGGUGACCU
This 533-nucleotide ribosomal RNA is filed under the name Penicillium chrysogenum. RNAcentral's name for it is "eukaryotic LSU rRNA". The stretch from base 207 to 359 matches the Rfam family "5.8S ribosomal RNA". Lineage: Eukaryota; Fungi; Ascomycota; Eurotiomycetes; Eurotiales; Aspergillaceae. The record is from RNAcentral.